This 309-nucleotide ribosomal RNA is filed under the name uncultured bacterium. RNAcentral's name for it is "partial 16S ribosomal RNA". It matches the Rfam family "Bacterial small subunit ribosomal RNA", at positions 504 to 807 of the family's 1533-position model. The record is from RNAcentral.
AGAGACAGCAGUAGCCGCGGUAAUACCGAGGGUGCGAGCGUUAAUCGGAUUUACUGGGCGUAAAGCGUGCGUAGGCGGCUAAUUGAGUCGGAUGUGAAAUCCCCGAGCUUAACUUGGGAAUUGCAUUCGAUACUGGUUAGCUAGAGUGUGGGAGAGGAUGGUAGAAUUCCAGGUGUAGCGGUGAAAUGCGUAGAGAUCUGGAGGAAUACCGAUGGCGAAGGCAGCCAUCUGGCCUAACACUGACGCUGAGGUACGAAAGCAUGGGGAGCAAACAGGAUUAGAGACCCCAGUAGUCCCUGUCUCUUAUAC